AUUGAACGCUGGCGGCAUGCCUUACACAUGCAAGUCGAACGGCAGCAUGGAGGAGCUUGCUCCUCUGAUGGCGAGUGGCGAACGGGUGAGUAAAGCAUCGGAACGUACCGUGUAGUGGGGAGUAACGUAGCGAAAGUUACGCUAAUACCGCAUACGCACUGAGGUGGAAGACAGGGAGUCGCAAGACCUUGCGCUAUACGAGCGGCCGAUGUCAGAUUAGCUAGUUGGUAGGGUAAAGGGACCUACCAAGGCGACGAUCUGUAGCUGGUCUGAGAGGACGACCAGCCACACUGGAACUGAGACACGGUCCAGACUCCUA
This 319-nucleotide ribosomal RNA is filed under the name uncultured bacterium. Its description in RNAcentral is "bacterial SSU rRNA". It matches the Rfam family "Bacterial small subunit ribosomal RNA", at positions 30 to 341 of the family's 1533-position model. The record is from RNAcentral.